UACGUAGGGUGCAAGCGUUGUCCGGAAUUAUUGGGCGUAAAGAGCUCGUAGGCGGUUUGUCGCGUCUGCUGUGAAAACUCGGGGCUCAACUCCGAGCUUGCAGUGGGUACGGGCAGACUAGAGUGCGGUAGGGGAGACUGGAAUUCCUGGUGUAGCGGUGGAAUGCGCAGAUAUCAGGAGGAACACCGGUGGCGAAGGCGGGUCUCUGGGCCGUAACUGACGCUGAGGCGCGAAAGCGUGGGGAGCAAACGGG
RNAcentral lists this ribosomal RNA (253 nucleotides) under uncultured bacterium. RNAcentral's name for it is "partial 16S ribosomal RNA". It matches the Rfam family "Bacterial small subunit ribosomal RNA", at positions 524 to 776 of the family's 1533-position model. The record is from RNAcentral.